RNAcentral lists this long non-coding RNA (408 nucleotides) under Setaria viridis. RNAcentral's name for it is "long non-coding RNA (SVIR_LNC002059)". The record is from RNAcentral. Lineage: Eukaryota; Viridiplantae; Streptophyta; Magnoliopsida; Poales; Poaceae.
GCAAAUCAGAGGUACCAUAAUAAGCUCGAGGUCUGGUGUCGGCAGAUCUAGAACUCUUAACAUGGGAUCAUUAUGCCUUAAUGUUGCCUUGGGUGUCUUCCUGUUGUAUGUAUAACAACAUAGAGCCACAAGACAAUCCCAUAAGGCCCCGUUUGGAUCCUUAGAAUUGAAUUCCACUCUAAUAAUCAUAAUUUAGACACAAAUUAAUUAAGCUAAUAUAAUUGUAUGUGGAAUAUAUUUGUAUAUUAUUGUUGGCCAUAUGAAAGAGAUACUUAUGUGCUGCAUUUCUGCUACAUGGAAGCGAGUCGAAGAGCGUGCUAUAAGAAUUGAAUUCCAUUCUAAUAAUCAUAAUCUAUAGAAUCAAUUUCCAUCUCCCACCCUAUGAAUUUAACAUAGGCUUAUAUCUAA